UUUUUUUAUUCUAAAUUACCAGUCUGUAGUUUCUUUUUGCACACUUUUCUCCUCUGUUACAAUCUGUUUUUUUUUUGGAGUGAUUGCAGUUUGAUUACAUUUGUCUUGGAACAAAUUUUCAGCUUUGCAUAUUCACUAGUAUCAUAAUUCAAGGACGAGCACAAUUGUGUUGCACUCUGACACUUCCUAGGAGGACCCAUAGGGCAUUUCCAAUUAGAAAUGACUUGGCCAUUUCUAUAGGAUUUCAUAUCACCCAGGAACAAUGAUAGUAACAGCCAUUACAAAGGGUUCCUUGAAGAAUUACUGAUUGGUAGGCUUUAUUCAAAAUUUAUUUUGAAAUAGGAUGGGUUCAGUCCUAUAAAUAUGUGAGGUGUGAUUUGUUUAAGUAGUUUCAUAAGUCGAAGGAGCUAAUAGCAUUAAUUGUUUCAUGGAAUCUCUUAGUGUAGUGAAUUUGGUGUUGGCCUAGGUUUCUUUUUGUUUCUAUCCCCAAAAGAGUUCUCUCUAUAGAGAAACAACUUGCUUCUCUCUCCUCUCCAUCUCUCUGCCUAAUAAAAAUAAUGAUGCUGGGCUUAUAGAAACUAGGAUACAAGGUUAGUAUAGCAUAGGGAUUAUCGAUUAGGAAAUAGAACAUCGAUUAGUAGGAACAUAGAAAUGUUUUAUAUGCAUCAAUUAUUACAUAGAUCCUUUUGAAAUGCUGCACUUGGAAUUCUGGGCGCACCUAGAAUAAUGGACCAGCAUAUGGUUUUUUUGGUACAUGGUAUAAUACGUGGUUAAUUGUAAUGGGAGCAUUGCGCUUGUGAACUGCACAAAGCAAUGUCUUGGCAGAGUAUUAGCAUUGGCCUCAGUUUGUUCUUUUAACGUGAGUAGUUUUACCUUUGGCCUUGUUUGUGAAAUCUUGUUUAUGACUUAGAACAUAUAAGUAUCUUAUGCAGGACUGAAGUGUCCAGUGAAGUAUUGGAUGUACUACAAUGCUGUAUUAUCUAGCCAUUUACAUUCUAGGAAACAAAAUAUAGAUCUUAGACACCUAGAGCUUUCCUCUCCUUUAUUCUAAGAGCUUCUGUGGGAUGUGCAGUUAUUUUAUGAUGUCACUUUUCAGAGUAGGUGUUGAUAAGUUAACCAUAUUGCAUCUUUUUACUCCUGUUAGCUGGACAGCACUACUGGUUUCUUGGAUACAUGAGCACCAUUUUUUUUAUAAGGAUGCCAUAGUGCUUUGCAGAUCCUAGCCUUGUUAUGCUUCUUAAAGUAAUGCAAAUUUCAUAACCACUCCGUAUGUUGCUUUUUUCAUAGUAGAGGUUUGACUACCUUGUUCAUACUAUCAAUCCAUUAGACUAAAGGGUACAUCAAUGUAAUAGGAGAGAAAUAAAUAUGGAAGGGUAAGUGGGUAACCCGAUUGUUUAGUCUGAGGGGAGAGAUCAAUAGUACUAUUCAUAAAUGGUUUUCUUCAAUUGGGGCAUGUUUAUAUCCUUUAAUUGAACAGCUAAUAUUUGUGUAUCCUUCGAACAUUGAACUUCUUACUUUGUUGACACAUAAUCUCUUGUGACAAUGAACGUUGCCCAAACCAAUUAUCCAGGUUUCUGCUGGAGAUAAUUUUAAUCUGUUAAGUCCUCUUAACGGAAUGGGGGAAGAGUUCAAAAAAAUGAGGGCGAAACCACAAAGUUGGGAAAGUAGGGGUAAAAAUCACAAUUGGAGUUGAAAACAGGCUCAAUUGUCACUUUACUAGGGGUUUUAUUGCUUUUCUUUAUCCAAACUCUAAAACAUGUCUCAAAUCCACAGCCAGUGGUUACACUAAUAGCUGGUCGUAUUUGUUAGGGAAACACUAGGUCACUAGUUAUCCUUGCGGUGACACAUUUUUGUAUUGUUCAUUCUACUGUUCUAUCAACUCAAGUUUUCACAUGCAUCAUGUCUAUUAGCAGUUAUUCCUUGACUGUGUACCUCCAUGAUGCAGAGGCUGGAGAUAUCUUCUGUUAUCUAAAAAAGUUAUGUUUUCCUAGGGACAGGAAAUGCAUUAUCUUGAUAUUGUGAAAUUUGGAGCUUCUCAGUUCACAUGUUGUUUUUUCCUCCUAGAUGCUUGAGCAUAAUUAUGACAUCAAUAAAUCAUUCCAUAGAAAUUAUUAGUUCUGGUUGCUGAUAUACUUACAAAGAAUAGCUAUUAUCAAUUGAUAUGCUCAGAGAAAAUAAGGGUCCUACUUAACUCAUGACAUGUGAUCAAUAUAGUUGUAGUUUAGUAUAUAUGAAGAGCCAUGAUACAUUCCUGGGAAUACAACGAAUAUUCCCUUAUGUGCCGGUCGAGGUAACUUAGCCUGGUAAAGGUGGUAGGGAUGGAGACGAGUAGCAGAAGGAUGAAAAGGGAGUGAACAGCUAGGGAACUAGCACAAGGUAUGUUGCAAGGUAGGAGGGGAGAGUUUAGUUGUGAGACGAGCAUAUGCAUAGGUUGACAUGGGAAGUCCGAAACAAUAUAUUGAAUGCAACUAGCAGAUAACAAAUAUUUAUUUGUUUUCAACUAAAAAAUCAGCUUCGAGCACACCACAUACUGUUGCUGCUGGUGUGAUGCUUGUCCUUGGGCCUUGUUGAGUUAUUCUAUUUCUAUAGGCUACAAGAAGUUUUUGCAUUGAUCUAUAAAAAAAUGCUGGAUAUGGGAGGAGGGGCUCUCAUAUCGAAAUUUAUUAAGAGCGGUGAGGCUCGAACUUGCGUCGGCUAGCCCACACCUUGUGGUGCUAGCCGGAAGGCCCCCAGGCCUUUCUUGCAUUGAUCUAUCUGUUUAAAGUAAAAAUAGGUGACUGUUUGAAUUUGAGUAAGUUGGAGACAAAUGAAAAAAAAGUGACUGAAACAAAAUACUCUGAUCUCAUGGAGUUAAUCUAUAUGUUGGAAGUAAAUGCAGAUGACUGUUUGAAUUUGAGUAAGUUGGAGACAGAUGAAAAAAAAAGACUGAAAUAAAGCACUAAGAUCUCAUGGGAUUAAUAAGUUGGUUCUGGAAAUUUUCCUUUUUCCCGAGCAAGUUUCGUGACAAUUCAGUUGGUUUCCCAAUUGGCUUAGUUUUUCGUAUUUCAACCCUAAGUUCAUUCGUCCAUCCUUAAUUAUUCCGCAUCUACCGAUCUACUCCCUCCAUCCCAAAAUGUAACAACUUUUGAACGGAUGGGACACAUCCUAGUAAUACGAAUCUAGAUAAGGGCCUGCACAGAUUCUUAGUACUAGGUUGUCUCAUCCAUUCAAAAAUUGCUAUACUUUGGGACAGAGGUAGUACAUAAAU
This 3247-nucleotide small RNA is filed under the name Oryza sativa Japonica Group (Japanese rice). RNAcentral describes it as "sRNA Os11g0448100". Lineage: Eukaryota; Viridiplantae; Streptophyta; Magnoliopsida; Poales; Poaceae. The record is from RNAcentral.